ACCGGGAUUGCCCUAGUAACGGCGAGUGAAGCGGCAAGAGCUCAAAUUUGAAAGCUGGCCCCCUCGGGGUCCGCAUUGUAAUUUGUAGAGGAUGCUUCGGGAGCGGUCCCCAUCUAAGUGCCCUGGAACGGGCCGUCAUAGAGGGUGAGAAUCCCGUAUGGGAUGGGGUGCCCGCGCCCGUGUGAAGCUCCUUCGACGAGUCGAGUUGUUUGGGAAUGCAGCUCUAAUUGGGUGGUAAAUUUCAUCUAAAGCUAAAUAUUGGCCGGAGACCGAUAGCGCACAAGUAGAGUGAUCGAAAGAUGAAAAGCACUUUGAAAAGAGAGUUAAACAGCACGUGAAAUUGUUGAAAGGGAAGCGCUUGCGAUCAGACUCGCUCGCGGGGUUCAGCCGGCCUUCGGGCCGGUGUACUUCCCCGCGGGCGGGCCAGCGUCGGUUUGGGCGGCCGGUCAAAGGCCCCUGGAAUGUAACGCCUCUCGGGGCGUCUUAUAGCCAGGGGUGCCAUGCGGCCUGCCCGGACCGAGGAACGCGCUUCGGCUCGGACGCUGGCAUAAUGGUCGUAAGCGACCCGUCUUGAAACACGGACCAAGGAGUCUAACAUCUACGCGAGUGUUCGGGUGUCAAACCCGUGCGCGCAGUGAAAGCGAACGGAGGUGGGAACCCCUCGGGGUGCACCAUCGACCGAUCCUGAUGUCUUCGGAUGGAUUUGAGUAAGAGCGUAGCUGUUGGGACCCGAAAGAUGGUGAACUAUGCCUGAAUAGGGCGAAGCCAGAGGAAACUCUGGUGGAGGCUCGCAGCGGUUCUGACGUGCAAAUCGAUCGUCAAAUUUGGGUAUAGGGGC
Molecule: ribosomal RNA, 838 nt
Filed under: Penicillium chrzaszczii
Lineage: Eukaryota; Fungi; Ascomycota; Eurotiomycetes; Eurotiales; Aspergillaceae
Description: LSU rRNA
Rfam family: Eukaryotic large subunit ribosomal RNA
Source: RNAcentral